This 253-nucleotide ribosomal RNA is filed under the name uncultured bacterium. Its description in RNAcentral is "partial 16S ribosomal RNA". It matches the Rfam family "Bacterial small subunit ribosomal RNA", at positions 524 to 776 of the family's 1533-position model. The record is from RNAcentral.
UACAGAGGUCCCAAGCGUUGUUCGGAUUCACUGGGCGUAAAGGGUGCGUAGGCGGUCGGGUAAGUCUGAUGUGAAAUCUCACAGCUUAACUGUGAAACUGCAUUGGAUACUAUCCGGCUAGAGGAAUGGAGGGGAGACUGGAAUACUUGGUGCAGCAGUGAAAUGCGUAGAUAUCAAGUGGAACACCAGUGGCGAAGGCGAGUCUCUGGACAUUUCCUGACGCUGAGGCACGAAAGCCAGGGGAGCAAACGGG